RNAcentral lists this ribosomal RNA (468 nucleotides) under uncultured bacterium. RNAcentral describes it as "partial 16S ribosomal RNA". It matches the Rfam family "Bacterial small subunit ribosomal RNA", at positions 28 to 507 of the family's 1533-position model. The record is from RNAcentral.
GACGAACGCUGGCGGCGUGCUUAACACAUGCAAGUCGAACGGAAAGGCCCUGCUUUUGUUGGUUGCUCGAGUGGCGAACGUGUGAGUAACACGUGUGUAACCUGCCCUUUACUUUGUGAUAACUUCUGGAAACUGGGGCUAAUACCGGAUAGUAUCUCCUGCUCCAUGUGGGGGGUUGGAAAGUUUCGGCGGUUGGGUAUCGCCUCGCGGGUUAUCAGCUUGCUGGUGGGGUUGUGGCUUACCAAGGCUUUUACGGGUAGCCGGCCUGGGAGGGUGACCGGGGACAAUAGGACUGAGAGACGGGCCAGACGCGAACGGGAGGCAGUAGGGGGGAGUAUGGCACAAUGGGCGGAAGCCUGAUGCAGCAGAGCAGCGGGCGGGAUAAAGGCCUUCGAGUUGUAAACCGAUGUCGCAUGAGACGAAGCGUGAGUGACGGUAAUGGGUAAAGAAGCACCGGCUAACUACGUG